ACAAAAUGUGACGCCAAAUAAAACCACUGGUAGCGCUGAAAACAUUCCCAUGUUCAGUACUUCAGUGUGAGGAACCUUUUAGUGGCCGUCCCCCGUCCCCCACCGACCAUGUCGUUUCCAGACCAUUAUAUCUUAAACCAGGGGUUUCCAAACUUUUUCAUUCGAGGGCCACGUAAAAUAUCAAAAGCUCUUGGAGGGGCCAAAGUGUAUGAACACAUAUAAGUCGUUCAGAUCGUACAUUAGGAUAGUGCCAAUUGACACCUCGUCCUUUGCCUCUCCGUAGUUUGGAGACCCAUGUCUUCGUUCGUGGUCAAGACAUUCCUUCGAGUUAUCGAAAAUUCUACUAAUAGACGUUCGAGUUAACGAGGUUCCACUUUAUAUUAUUCGAUUCUUGCAGUAUAAAAUGUUUUCCAACGUGUGCUCCUCAGUUCUCGUUAUAUAAUUAUCGUCGAGACAAUAUUACGAUUACGUUUUUCUCGGUAAUCGGUAUGAAGAAAGGUUUUACGGAAUUUCAAUCCGAAAGCCUCGUUCUGACGAGCUCGUCUAUAAAUAGAAUGAUUGAAGGGUUUUCCACGAAUCCAGUUUGUGCAUACUUUGUAUGGAACAGAACACGGGACCGAUCGCUUCAGUCACACAACACGGGACCGACCGGUACCUUAUACGAUAAAUAAUAUCUCUACGGUUGGCAUUUAUUCAUUUAUGAUAUUAUGCGAUUUUGUUAUUGUCUCUCCGUUGUAGUGCGUGGCGUAUACGACUUGGCUAAUAAUACGAUAUUGAUAGUGUUAUAAAAUCUCAUGAAAUAUUUGAUUUUGAUGAAAAGUAAAAUAAUCAUAUUUUAAUUUAAAACUAUAGAGGGAAGUACAGUUAACGCCUCUACUUAUUUAAAUUUUAAGUGAAAAUGUUAUAGAAAUAUUGCUUAUAUUAUACUUUCAAUAAAUUACAUAAUAAUUAUUCUAGUGUCUACCUUAUAAUUAUAUUAUAAUAUUAUCUUCACUACAUCGUGAUUGAGAAUUAAAUAUCGGAUAAUCACUAAUCAGUUUAACAAAUAAGCUUCAGAGUGAACAUUCGCCAUUACGAAAAGAAUACAUUUUUUUGGAUCAUUGUCUCUGAAGUUUGAUAUUAAUUGAAGAACCUGGAUUCUGAU
Molecule: long non-coding RNA, 1144 nt
Organism: Myzus persicae (green peach aphid)
Lineage: Eukaryota; Metazoa; Arthropoda; Insecta; Hemiptera; Aphididae
Exons: 3
Source: RefSeq, a predicted model, not a curated record